This 354-nucleotide transfer-messenger RNA is filed under the name Verrucomicrobiota bacterium. It matches the Rfam family "transfer-messenger RNA". From Rfam's summary of the family: Bacterial tmRNA, also known as 10Sa RNA or SsrA, is named for its dual tRNA and mRNA-like properties. Its role is to liberate the mRNA from a stalled ribosome. The record is from RNAcentral. RNAcentral also lists the same sequence under 1 other name. Lineage: Bacteria; Pseudomonadati; Verrucomicrobiota.
GGGGGCGUACUGGUUUCGACCUGAAGAUCUCGCUUCCGACGGCAUGCCGAGGACGAUCCGUUGGCCUCGUAAAACCCCGGGUCAAAACAUUAACUGCUAACGAAGAGUUGGCACUCGCAGCCUAAUCGGCUCGACGUUCGUCUCGGAACACCUGCUACUGAGAACGAACGCCAUUAGCAGGCAUGGUCGUCGGCGGAGUUCGCGCGCUGGCAGCCGAGAAAGUUCAUGCGAGCUAGGCGAAGUCACUCGAAGUCGGCCCGUGACGAUUUCGCAGAAAAUUCAGGCUGGCUAAGCAUGUAGUCGUUGGAUUUGAGCUAGUCAGGGACGGGGGUUCAACUCCCCCCGCCUCCACCA